CUCCGACUGAACUUUAUCGUUAUUUAUAUGUUUAGUUUAUUGCGCAGCAGUAUGCCGUUUCUCCGACGUGCUGCAGCUUGAUUUAUCGCUGGUGAUCACCCCUCUCGCUAGUACAAAAUGGUCGAUUCCGUUGGAGCAUGCUCUGCACAGAAAUAUACUUGUGCCCUGUGUAUAUGCAGAUCUACCACUGUCAGCGGCCAAGAGCCCCCCAGCCUGUCCAUCAUGAAUACAGCGCUGCUUAUUGGAAAGCACAGGUUCCACUAACAGGCAGCUUUCAAAUGGGCGUCGCUGACCCCUUCUAACAAGCAA
Long non-coding RNA from Xenopus laevis (African clawed frog), 309 nucleotides. RefSeq lists it as uncharacterized. The record is from RefSeq and is a predicted model, not a curated record. The transcript has 3 exons. Lineage: Eukaryota; Metazoa; Chordata; Amphibia; Anura; Pipidae.